Molecule: long non-coding RNA, 1831 nt
Organism: Panicum virgatum (switchgrass)
Lineage: Eukaryota; Viridiplantae; Streptophyta; Magnoliopsida; Poales; Poaceae
Exons: 2
Source: RefSeq, a predicted model, not a curated record
ACACUUCAAUCCACCAGCCUGGUCCUGUGCGGAACAGAGGACGGCAUGGACUAAGUGACGACUCGCCUUCCAUCCGUGCCUCGCCACCGCUCGGCUCUGCUCAGCCGCCGCCGCGUUGCCGUCGCGCUGGCCGUCCGCCGCACCCCCCCCCCCCCCCCCCCCCCCCCAAGUCGCCGGCGCCACGCACCCGUUCAUCCGCGCCCCCUGCCGCGCUUCGGCGCCCGGCCGACGCCGCCGCUAUGGAAAGGCCGGGUCGGCCUUGUCCCUAUCAUUUGCCUCCCCCGGCUCGUCCCUUCGAGUCGCCAAGACUCCACCCCACAUCGCGCCGAGCGUGCGCACGCCGCUCCGCCCCAACCCCGUGCGCUUUCGCCGUGCAUCGCACCGUCAGCGGCAGCCAUGGCCGAACCGGCCUGAGCUCCAACCGCCGCCGUUCCAUUUCGCCUCACCUCGCCGUUCUCGCCACGUCGCACCGUGCGAGCGCCGCCUGCGCCGCGCGUGCGUUCGCGUGCGUCGUAUCCGUGGCAGAGCGCGCCGCCGUCCGCCGAUCCCAGAAUAGGGGAGCUCUGGUGCCGACCAAAUUCGCGAGGCACAGCCUAUCGCCGUCGUCCCAUCUCGCCGCGCGCCACAGCGUCCUCCCGCCGGCGAGCUGCGCUGCCCUCAGGCCACCGUCCACGGCGCCGCUUGGUCGCAGAGGACUAUGCCGCCGCCGCUUUGUUCAUCGCCAGUGAGCUCCGGCCAUCGACUGCCCUCGCCAAUCGCGUAACCAAGUUCGCCUCGUCGCCCUGAACCUGUGAGUUUCGCAUCAGAAUCAUCAGUUUAUCACAACAAAUCUUGUCAUCACAGUAAAAAUAGUAAAAAAGUUAGUCGUCUAAACCAUUGUGUAGGUAGAGCAUUACAGAAUAUGAAUACAACUGUGUGUAUAUAUACUACAGUAUUUUUUUAGAAAAGAGCUUUCCAUUAACAUGAAUACAACUGUGUAUAUAUAUACACGGUAGGAGUUUUGAGAAGGGAUCCUCUUCAUCUUUUCAUCCUGGAAAUCAAGCAGGAGUCAUCUCAAGUGUUUCACUAUCUUCUGCUAUGGGCUGAUCUUUGUUGAUUGUGCACUUUUGUCGUUAGCACAGACCUGGAAAUUAGCAUGAGUUAAGUCUGAAGAAUUUCGCAGCUUUACCGCUUAGGUAACUGCAUGCGGUACUUUCUGAAGAUCAGUAAGUACUCACUCUCACUGUAUGCUCUGAAAAUCAAAAGGCUGAAAACAGGAAGCUCUGCUGCAAGGCACAACUAUGAUACUUAUGUAAAAGAGAACCAGCAAGUGUUCCGAGAAAAAGAAAACUCAACAAUUGACGAUGAGAGGCAAAAGCGAACAAGGGUGACUGUUAAAUCAGUAAUCUGAACUAUUGAACUGCACGCAAAUCCUCUCUAUGGAAAUUUCCUCGACAUCAAUUGGCACGUAUUCUUUCAGAACCGUCAAAAUAGAGUAAUUACUAUGCACUAAGAACAUCAGGGGAAUGGGCUCAACAGAAUGAGAUCAAUUUUUUUUAGUUGCUAAGCACGGAGACAGACGCACAUCAUCAAUUUCGAUCCUGCGAAAUAAUCUGCCGACACCAAGGUCUGUCAUGUCGGCAUUUGCAUGCCAAAGAUCAACAAGCGAUGAUGUUCUCGAAGACUGAAUCGACCGACGGAUUCAUGAUAAACCAGCAACAUCAGAGUAACGUUCGUGGAGUAGCCAGGAAGAUAUUUCGGCAAGUUUGUAAUGACCCUUCACCAUAAUCUGGGCAUGAUCAUGAGGAUCUUGUAGCCCAUAAAAGUGCAAUGCCUAUUCGGUUCAGUCAAA